Molecule: ribosomal RNA, 233 nt
Filed under: Microbulbifer sp.
Lineage: Bacteria; Pseudomonadati; Pseudomonadota; Gammaproteobacteria; Cellvibrionales; Microbulbiferaceae
Description: partial 16S ribosomal RNA
Rfam family: Bacterial small subunit ribosomal RNA
Source: RNAcentral
GGAGGAAGGUGGGGACGACGUCAAGUCAUCAUGGCCCUUACGUCCUGGGCUACACACGUGCUACAAUGGUUGGUACAGACGGUCGCUAAGCCGCGAGGUGGAGCUAAUCCGAAAAAACCAAUCGUAGUCCGGAUUGGAGUCUGCAACUCGACUCCAUGAAGUCGGAAUCGCUAGUAAUCGUGAAUCAGAAUGUCACGGUGAAUACGUUCCCGGGCCUUGUACACACCGCCCGU